CCUACGGGAGGCAGCAGUGAGGAAUAUUGGUCAAUGGGCGAGAGUCUGAACCAGCCAAGUCGCGUGAAGGAUGAAGGAUCUAUGGUUUGUAAACUUCUUUUAUAUGGGAAUAAAGUGAGGAACGUGUUCCUUUUUGUAUGUACCAUAUGAAUAAGCAUCGGCUAACUCCGUGCCAGCAGCCGCGGUAAUACGGAGGAUGCGAGCGUUAUCCGGAUUUAUUGGGUUUAAAGGGUGCGUAGGUGGUUAAUUAAGUCAGCGGUGAAAGUUUGUGGCUCAACCAUAAAAUUGCCGUUGAAACUGGUUGACUUGAGUAUAUUUGAGGUAGGCGGAAUGCGUGGUGUAGCGGUGAAAUGCAUAGAUAUCACGCAGAACUCCGAUUGCGAAGGCAGCUUACUAAACUAUAACUGACACUGAAGCACGAAAGCGUGGGGAUCAAACAGGAUUAGAUACCCCUGUAGUC
RNAcentral lists this ribosomal RNA (460 nucleotides) under uncultured bacterium. RNAcentral's name for it is "partial 16S ribosomal RNA". It matches the Rfam family "Bacterial small subunit ribosomal RNA", at positions 338 to 795 of the family's 1533-position model. The record is from RNAcentral.